AUGUAUAUGCUGUUGGUCACAACCGCUCAUUGGAGCAAGUAAAAAAGAAAUGGACGGAUUUGAAGUCCAUGGCCAAAAAGAAAGAGAUGAAAAGAAGGAGAAUGGCGGCAGGGACUGGUGGAGGACCAGCCCCACCAGAGCUUUCUGCCUUAGAAGAACAGAUUAUCAGUGUCAUCCCAGAUGAGAUGGUAGAGGGAAUUUCUGGAGGUGUUGAUACAUUUGCUUCCAUGCCUAAGAAAGCUAGAACAGAAGGUAAG
Molecule: long non-coding RNA, 257 nt
Organism: Mya arenaria
Lineage: Eukaryota; Metazoa; Mollusca; Bivalvia; Myida; Myidae
Exons: 5
Source: RefSeq, a predicted model, not a curated record